RNAcentral lists this ribosomal RNA (301 nucleotides) under uncultured bacterium. RNAcentral describes it as "partial 16S ribosomal RNA". It matches the Rfam family "Bacterial small subunit ribosomal RNA", at positions 509 to 807 of the family's 1533-position model. The record is from RNAcentral.
CAGUCGCCGCGGGAAUACGAAGGGUGCAAGCGUUACUCGGAAUUACUGGGCGUAAAGCGUGCGUAGGUGGUUGUUUAAGUCUGCUGUGAAAGCCCUGGGCUCAACCUGGGAAUUGCAGUGGAUACUGGGCAACUAGAGUAAGGUAGAGGAUAGUGGAAUUUCCGGUGUAGCAGUGAAAUGCGUAGAGAUCGGAAGGAACAUCUGUGGCGAAGGCGACUAUCUGGGCCAUUACUGACACUGAGGCACGAAAGCGUGGGGAGCAAACAGGAUUAGAUACCCGGGUAGUCCCUGUCUCUUAUAC